GGCGCCCGGUCUGGGAGGGAGCCCGAGGGUAAAGGGAAUGGGGCAAGGGAGGGAGCAGGGAAGGCUCGUAACGCUGCAGGUGGGCUGUGUAGGGAUGGGGCGGCUUUGGGAAGGGUCGUGAGGGGCAGCUGAGGUGCCUCGGUGUGCUCAGCCCCGAGCAGGGCAGGCUGAGGGAACGCCUCAUGGCGGCCUGCAGCUCCCUCACGAGGGGAGCGGAGGGGCAGGCGCUGAGCUCUGCUCUCUGGGGACAGCGACAGGACCCGAGGGAACGGCAUGGAGCUGGGACAGGGCAGGGUCAGGCUGGGGGUUAGGGAAAGGGUCUGCACCCAGAGGGUGCUCUGGCAAUGGGACAGGCUGCCCAGGUCAGUGGUCAGGGCACCAAACCUGGUGGAGUUCAAGAAGCGCUUGGACAACGCUCUCAGACAUCCAGGGUUUUAUUUUUGGCUGGUCCUGCAUGGAGCCAGGAGUUGGACUCAGUGAUCCUUGUGGGUCCCUUCCAGGAGAGGAUAUUUUAUAAUGUCGUGAUUCUGGGCUGGGGCAUAGUGAGGCUUUUCCAGCCAGAUGGCUGUGUGCGGGAGAGAGGGCAGGAACUGAGGGCAGAAACUUAAGAAGGUUAAAACUUGCCCGAACUGAUCCGUUUGUGUGUGAGGGCAUGAGGGACUGAGCCAGAAAGAAGGUAUGGACUGUCCUGAAGGGAAAAUAGACCUCAUUGGGGUGUCACAGCAUGUGGGGCGCUCAGACAGCAAAGGUGGCUCCAUGGCUGGCGAGGGCAGAAGGUGGCACCAGCAGGACACAGAAAUUCCCCCAGGAGAGGUGGCAGUGGCCUGCCAGGGCUGUGGGCACAAUUUGUCAUCAAAGGGGCCACCUCGUGUCUUGUUUUGGGAUUAGGUAGACAUUGAGCUAGCACAAGCGUGGUAAAGAAGAAGCUGGAACGGCUUAGUGAGCUGGGAGGGUGCCGGAGAUGGAAUAAAGAAGGACACUGUGAGCAUAUUUGUGUUGGAGGUUAAACUGAACGGGUUCAAGGCACGGCAGACAGAUGAUGGAGUCUGAGUGCGUUGGAGGGGAUGGAUAGAGAAGGUUCUGGAACAUUUCAAGCUCUAAGUGGAGCCAGAGGCUGUCUGCAGAAAAGUGGCUUUGGAUCCUCAGCGUGCAUGAAGAUGAAGGUCAGAUUUAGCAGGAGCGUGGGAAGGAGGCUAGAAUUGCAGCAGGGCAUUUUACAGAUGGUGUAUCCCUGAUCCUUUUUCUUCUCUCAGGACCAUAGGUAUUACAGGCUUAUCUCACACAGUAUCCUACCUUUCUAUCUCAAGAGCUAAGAAAAAAAAAAAAAGUGACAAAAAGAAGUGGUAGUAUCAUUUUUCUUUGACAGGAACCUGCUGCUGUGUGAUGUUGAGAGGCAGAAGAUGUUCAGUACUUUUCUCGCAUCCUUUUCUUUUGUAUUUACUGGUAAAAAAGACUAAGUUCCAGCAUCCUUGCGCAUGUUCUCAUUACCACAAAUAAUGAGACUUUUCAUCAAAAAGUGAUAGAGAAAAAACUGUUCUUACUUCUUGGAGAAAAUAGAGAUAGCACAGAGGUGGUGUGGCACUGCAGUACUUCUGCUUCGUCCAGCAACAGGGAACAAGGGUCUGUCUAAUAGCUAAUAUAGAUGGUUUCAAAUAUUCAACAGAAUUAGCCUCUUUCUUAAUCAAUCCCACUCUUCUGAUAGGUUUUCUUUAUUGGUUCUGUUCUGUUUUACCUUGAUGGGAGCAAUGCAUUCUUUAUGCCUUGCUAAUUUGCAGUGCAUUUCAUCAAUGGGAAUCAAUUAGGAUUGUAAUAACGCAUGCGUGCAUCUGUGUAGGUACAGUAGAGACCAAAGGUUGGGGCAUAUUAUUAUCCAGUUUUCAUAGCAAACUUGACAGAGAAGAAUCUUUACAUGUAACAUAUAUAGAAAAUAUCUACAAUGCUGUCUUGUAUGCCCCUAUAUGAGUAUAUAUUUCUGGUUGCAUGCUUUUUUCCUACCAACUUCUUUGGCUACUGCCAUAAAACCCUACAACCCUCUUACAAAUACUGUCAUGCCACAGCUGUUCUCAAAAGCAAGGUACCUGCCAAAUAAAGCUUGUUGGCUACUUUGAUUCUGAGGGGAACUAUGGCAAGUCACAUGAAAACUACAAAUCAGUUGGUUUUGAUGGGACUAUUCACAUACUUGAACUGCUUAGAGCUGGGCUUCAGCUGUGGGUUUUCCGAAGAUGCACCUCCAUUAGCCUAUUUGGUGUCUAUGUAUUUACAAUUUGCUAAUAAUAUGACCCUCAACAGUAGGUAAAAAUUAGGCAAAGUGGAGCUGAAAAGAGUCUGCCAAGUCAGAUCAAGGUCUGUGGGCAAGUCCUAAACCUUUGCCGCUUUACCUGUCCUAAGCAGUACACUUAAUUUUCUGGAAACUUGGAAGCUGAUAGCUACAAAAGAGUUUAGGCUGAUGUUCUAAUAUGUCUACUUGUAUAUGUGGACUACUCUGUUGGUACAGUUCAAAAUAUACAGGAAUUAAGCAGUGUCAGCCCUGUGAGAUAAUAUUGCCAUGUAUCCCUGAGCAGAUUUAGACAGUGACAUUAUUAUUGCUUUAAGAAGUACGUGAGAGAUUUGAAAGCAUAGCAAGGUGCCUGUAAAAUGCCUGUUAUAGCAUCUGAUCAUUCUAACCUGGAUGGCUUAGUUACGACGAAAUCAAUCCCGGUUAUUGCAGGCUAGAUUUUCCCUGACCUUUGAGCUUCAUUUUACUUAGGGAAUGUAUGAGAAUUGUUCUGAUAGUUUUAAUGCAAUAACUCUUUUCUUAUUUGGACUUAUUUUUGUUUUGCCUUUUUUUUUUUUUGGAAAGGAAGAAACAUUCAUUAUAUGUUUCCUUCUAACUUUCUAUUUUGACUAUCAACAUUUACAGCUCGUAGGGUGGUUUCAUCUGUGCCAUCUGUGUGCCAUAUUGCACAUCAGAUGGCAGGAUAAAAUCUGUAGCAAGAACAUUUUGGGACAUAAAAGUCUUUCAGGGUUUGAAGCCACGAUACUCACGGCACAAACGUGUGGAGCCGCUCAUGUAACUGAAACAGAAGACACAGAAUGCCAAAGCAGCUGCAGAGUGAAAGAAAGGGGAGACCACACAGUUUGGGCAGCACACAGGCCACGAGAACAAAAGAACGUUUGAGGGAAGAAGAAAGUGCGACUUCGGGCAGCGAGAAACCAGAGUCAAUCAUCAGGAAUUACUGACAGCAGACAUGCACUCACGCGGCGAUUAGGGGCUCGCUUUGGGAAGCCGUGUCAGUUAACACCGAGUUGCGAAGAGCUGAUGGCAAACUUAGCUUUGUCUUCCUUUGUUGGGGCUAAAGCAAAUCCCACCACCCUGAUGGGUAAUUCUGAUAUGAGCCUUGCUGACAACCGUACCCCAUCUAACAUGCAAGGCCCAGCGGGAUGCCAUUUCCUUUGCUAAGAAGCAUGCCCUGAACAGCAGACUGUGCCAGUAAGAGGCAAAAGGCACCGAAGCUCUGCUUUGAACAGGAGGAACUUCUGGCAUCUGCACGAGAGAGUCUACGGUGAAAAUAUCUGGUCAGGGCUGGCUUCAUCCCAUUCUAAACCGAACACCUUCAGAAGGCAACCUGAAUCUCCCCUCAUCGACUUUGAAGGAGCUUAGAAACCUAGACCACCGGGGAAAGCACCGAGAGAGAGAGCAGGCUCCACGGCAGAAACCAAACCUUGCAGCACGCUUCUUCCACCGAGCAGCUCCUCAGGCUGGCACCGCAGAGGGGCCGCUUCACCGGGGGGCUCCUGCCCACGAUGCUCCCCAGGGCAAGGCAAAUCCACAGCCCCGUGGAUGAAACUGAAGGAAACGCUUUCAGUAAUGAGCCGGGUUAAUGGAUAGCGAAGAUGGCGGUGGUAGGGAGAACGGGCCUUUGGAAGUCAAAGUCAUUCAUCUCAGUGACGAUUCUUCUUCCUGUGUUCUAGGAGUUUCUGCGUGAGACUCCCUGAAACAUUCACUGUCGGAAACCAUUUUCUCUUGCUGGUUUCUCCAGGAAAGGGUCAAGGCAGGCUGCCAGUAGGACGACUGGACAACAUCACUGCUUUAAAGACCUGUGGGCUCUCACUGACACUGCAGCAGUAAUGGGUGGUGGAGCAUUAGGAGAAACUACACUGCAAAAGCAGGAUGAAAUUUCCAGAGCAGAUUUAAUUGGGAAGAGGGUUAGGAAGGUUUUGUAAGGCAGAGGGAGCAAAACCUGAUUUCUCCUAACCACUCUCCCAGCUCCAGGAUCUGGACUAAAUGACUCCUACUCAUGUCUGACAUCAUAUCUCCACCCCGAAGCUGAAGGAAUAAAUGCCUGCAAACACAGUUUAUGUUACUAAGUGGCAAGAAUCUGCGUUUCUUUUUCUGUGUUGUAGGGUCCUGCCUCCCCCCACACCUCACUUUUUUCUCCUCAAUAAACAGUCUAGGACGUCCAGUUCCUUGUGCCCCAGUCAUUCAAGCACUGCAUUUAAGCUGCAGAGCCAGACCCUGACACACUGGAAAAGAGCAAAUUUUGGAUUCUUGGUGUAAUCCUUUUUUGUCCCUCCCCACACGCGUAUGUUUUCUUACAAACUCCCCCAUGACACAGUCGUACUGCAGACUUUCCCACAGGAUGCAUGCCUCAUGCUGUACAACACAGGAUAAUCACACCCAGUGGCAGAAAUAAAUUAGCAUAGCAAUCUUAAUCUGGUAUUUCCUAAUUUUCCUAAUUUCCUUAUCCUUCAAUGCUCAGCUGUGCUAAUCUAAACAAUAUUCUUCAAUGUAAUUUUUGUAUGUUAUCGUUUAAAUAUAUGUAUACGUGUUGGUGUAUCGCUCCAUCUAUCCGUAUCUCUUCAUGUAUUGGUAAACACAAAAGAAACAGAUAAAAGCUGUUUGUUUUUAA
This is a non-coding RNA of Anas platyrhynchos (mallard), 4889 nucleotides long. The record is from RefSeq and is a predicted model, not a curated record. NCBI's taxonomy places the organism in Eukaryota, Metazoa, Chordata, Aves, Anseriformes, Anatidae.